CCCCGCCCCGCCCCGCCCCGCCCGCGGGCGCCGCCCUGCGGCCUGGCGGCGCUGUGCCGCGCUGGGCCCCCCGCCGGCCCGAGGGGGCGGCGGCCUGAGGAGCGGGGAGCCGGCGCUCCUGGGGCUCCUGCGUGCCCUGCUUCGCUGGUAGGCGGGGCCGUUGCUGGGAAGUACCCGCAAAACCAGAUGCUUUUCAAAGGCUAGGCGAAUGUAAGGGUUCAAAAUGCCCCUCUACCUUCUGGAGAUACCUGUACUGAGACACAUUGGCUAAUGUUUUUUGAACCUACAGAGUAAGGAGAAACAAGGAUGAGCGAAAACUAGAAGAAAGCCCAUACAGAGAAGUCGGAGGAAGGAUCCGGGGUUAUUGGACAACUGUCUCUACGCUGCUUGACUCACCACUUGCUGGAGACAACAAAGCAAUACGUACCUGGGACAUUUCUGAAGCAAGAGAUGAGCUGGCACUGUCUCCUUGGAAGCUUAGGGAAGAUGAAUAGAAUAAGUCUUCCUGUCGUUCCAGACCUGUCUGCUUCUGGUGCAUUUGAGACCAAAUAGUAUUUU
Cygnus olor (mute swan) is the source of this 558-nucleotide long non-coding RNA. RefSeq lists it as uncharacterized. The record is from RefSeq and is a predicted model, not a curated record. The transcript is spliced from 3 exons. Lineage: Eukaryota; Metazoa; Chordata; Aves; Anseriformes; Anatidae.